GAUGAAGAACGUAGCAAAAUGCGAUAAGUAAUGUGAAUUGCAGAAUUCAGUGAAUCAUCGAAUCUUUGAACUCACAUUGCGCCCGCCAGUAUUCUGGCGGGCAUGCCUGUUCGAGCGUCAUUUCAACCCUCAAGCACAGCUUGGUGUUGGGACUCGCGUUAAUUCGCGUUCCUCAAAUUGAUUGGCGGUCACGUCGAGCUUCCAUAGCGUAGUAGUAAAACCCUCGUUACUGGUAAUCGUCGCGGCCACGCCGUUAAACCCCAACUUCUGAAUGUUGACCUCGGAUCAGGUAGGAAUACCCGCUGAACUUAAGCAUAUCAAUAAGCGGAGGA
This 332-nucleotide unclassified non-coding RNA is filed under the name soil metagenome. RNAcentral's name for it is "partial contains 5.8S ribosomal RNA, internal transcribed spacer 2, and large subunit ribosomal RNA". The stretch from base 1 to 120 matches the Rfam family "5.8S ribosomal RNA", at positions 35 to 154 of the family's 154-position model. The record is from RNAcentral.